CCUACGGGAGGCUGCAGUGGGGGAUAUUGCACAAUGGGGGAAACCCUGAUGCAGCGACGCCGCGUGUGGGAAGACGGUCCUCUGGAUUGUAAACCACUGUCCCCAGGGACGAAGAUGACGGUACCUGGGGAGGAAGCUCCGGCUAACUACGUGCCAGCAGCCGCGGUCAUACGGAGGGAGCGAGCGUUGUCCGGAAUUACUGGGUGUAAGGGGAGCGUAGGCGGGACUGCAAGUUGGGUGUAAAAUCUACCGGCUCAACCGGUAGCCGCACUCAAAACUGCAGUUCUUGAGUGAAGUAGAGGCAGGCGGAAUUCCUAGUGUAGCGGUGAAAUGCGUAGAUAUUAGGAGGAACACCAGUGGCGAAGGCGGCCUGCUGGGCUUUUACUGACGCUGAGGCUCGAAAGUGUGGGGAGCAAACAGGAUUAGAUACCCCAGUAGUC
Molecule: ribosomal RNA, 440 nt
Filed under: uncultured bacterium
Lineage: Bacteria
Description: partial 16S ribosomal RNA
Rfam family: Bacterial small subunit ribosomal RNA
Source: RNAcentral